AAGGCGCUGGAGCUCCUGACGGGAUUUUGCCGCUUUUUUCUCUUUUAGCAGCAGAAAAUCAAUUUAACACUUUAAAUUUUAUUAAAAUAUAGCAAGGGAUGGAUUAAACUUAAGAGAAACCUUUAAUCCUGUGGCAUGAGCGAGGCAGAGAGCCAGCGAGGUGCAGAUGUUCCUCUCCAGGCUCUCUGACAAGGAUCUGGCCAUGGCACCGCUGGCUACACACGAGCAAUAUCACUCCCUGCCCUGUGAGUCCUUAAUUAGGGCCUUAACGAAGCCCUGCCUUAAUUAGGGUCCCAACACCUUCCUAACCAAGUAUGAUCUUAAUGGUGCCCCCAAUAAUUAAUUCGGGAUCCCUAACGAAGCCCCUGUAAUGAACUGGGGGGGGUUAAUGAAACAGGGGGGUCUCAAGAUGAUCUUGCUAAUGAAGAGGGGGUGCUAAUUAAGCAAUGCCUUCACUAAUGAACUAGGAAACCCUAAUUAAACCCAAGGUGGUCAAACCCUCAGAGUCCUCCUCCAAUUCCUGUUCCCAAAUUGCUGCGGAUUUACCCAAAAUCCCCAAAUCCCAAAAUCCCUCAAUCCCAUGACCCAAAAUCCCCAAAUCCCGUUACCCAAAAUCCCUGAUUCCCACCCAAAACCAGCCCUGGGAUAACCCUGAAAGCCCAGGCAGGGCCAGGGCAAAGAAAUCCUCAAAUGUGGGGAUUUUACAGCAACUUUGGACCCAAUUUCCCUUUUCUUUUGGGUGGAAAUUUGCCCUUUUUGGUUUGACCCCAAAUUGGGCCCUUUUUUCCUGUUUUUUUUAAACCUAAAUUUGGCCCCUUUUUGCUUUUGGCCCAGAAUUUGUUUGGUUUUUUUUUUUUUUUCCUUUAAAUUUGGCCCCUUUUGGGUUUUGUCCUAAAAUUGCCUUUUUUGUGC
Molecule: long non-coding RNA, 912 nt
Organism: Zonotrichia leucophrys gambelii
Lineage: Eukaryota; Metazoa; Chordata; Aves; Passeriformes; Passerellidae
Exons: 3
Source: RefSeq, a predicted model, not a curated record